This 20584-nucleotide long non-coding RNA is filed under the name Setaria italica (foxtail millet). Its description in RNAcentral is "long non-coding RNA (SITA_LNC006941)". The record is from RNAcentral. Lineage: Eukaryota; Viridiplantae; Streptophyta; Magnoliopsida; Poales; Poaceae.
GACACACACAAUUAACACAUAGCAGAGACAUGGCUACCUCUCCUCGUGCAGCCGUUGCCGGCGUGGUAGCGGCGGCGGCGGUGGCGCUGUGCCUCCACGGCGCGGCGGCGCAGCUGUGCGAGGACUACUACGACGACACGUGCCCUGACGCCUACGACAUCGUGAAGCAGGUGCUCAUCGACGCCCACAGGUCGGACGUGCGCAUCUACGCCAGCCUCAUCCGCCUCCACUUCCACGACUGCUUCGUCCUGGUAACGAACCUUUCCUUCCUCUGUCUGCUAGGACGCCAUGGCCGUGCCCAUGCAUUGUUAUUUCCUUGGUGAUGCCAUGGCCGUUUAUGUUAUAUUGUUCAUAUAUAAUAGGGCUGCGACGGGUCGAUCCUGCUGGACAACAUGACUGGGAUGCAGACGGAGAAGGAGGCGGUGCCCAACAUGGGCUCGGCGCGCGGGUACGAUGUGGUGGACGCAGCCAAGGCAGCGCUGGAGGACGCCUGCCCCGGCGUCGUCUCGUGCGCCGACAUCCUCGCCCUCGCCGCAGAGAUCUCCGUCGAGCUGGUACGUUUCUCCUAAAUAAACAUGCAGCAAAACGUACGUGCAUCUGGAUUGUAAGUUUAUAUGAUGCAUGUAGCAAAACUUUUCAUGACGUACGUGCUUGAUGGAUGGAUGCAUGCAUCAUAUCUAUCACUCCUGUACUCAGUUACUCACCAUGCAUGCAUAAGGGGUAAGCAUGCAUGCUGGGUUACUUGUUCCAAGAAUGUUACCACAGAGUUCAGUCCCUCCCGCUGACGUAAAUCAGAGUGACAUCAGUUGCUCUUGCUCCAAUCCCUCGAUCAGUUACAAAUAAGUGUAUGCAUGGACUUCACGAAACACAACUUUUUAAGUACUACCCUUUUUAGUACACCCUAUAAAUAAGUAUCAUACUAAUACAGGUAACUUUUAAUGAAAGUUUAAACCAUCCAACUAUAGAUAACUCAACUCUUCGACGUGUAAAAAAAUUAAUAUGGAGCGAGUAUCUUGGUAAUAGAAUCUACGACAUGAAUUAGCUAAGACUGUAUGGAGGGCCAAUCCGAAAAACAAUCCAAGACCUCUUGGUCUUGAAUAUCAGAAAACGAUGAACAAACUGGUCUUUGCUUGGGAACAAAAUAAUAUGUAUUAUCCACAUAGGAUAUCUUCAAAACGAGAAAAUCCAUCGAUCUGAGACAAAGAGAAAGACUUUUUACUUAUUCAGUUAAACCAAGGAUUCAUUACGGAAAAGAUAGAAACAACCAUUCCAUCAGACAUACACAUUUUUAUUAUCUGGCGGGCUUAUAUAAUUUCAUUAAUGGAAAUUGUCUGCUGGCUAGCUGUAAUUUUUCAUUAAUGCUCUCCCACGCAGUCUGGAGGCCCAAAGUGGGGUGUUCUGCUGGGGAGGCUGGACGGCAAGACGUCCAGCAUCAGCGGCGCAAACAACCUGCCGGCGCCCUUCGAGACCCUCGACAUGCUUCGGAGAAAGUUCAGGGCCGUCGGCCUUAACAGCGACGUCGACCUCGUCGCCCUGUCAGGUAGUACAAUAUUUAUUUCUCACUCCACACGAUCUUCACUGCAUCGGUUGGGUUUUCCUCGGACUCGACGUAUAUCAAAAUUAUAUAGUUACCAUAUAUAAUAUAAUAUAUAUAUGUAUAUGUAUAAUAUACUUUCUCCGUUCCAAAUUACUAUUCGUUUUGACUUUUCAAGAUAUAUGGACUUUGACAUGCACUUAUAUAUAUUAUAUCUAGGUACAUAACAAAAGUUAUGUAUCUAGAACAGUCAAAACGAAUAGUCCACGAAUAGUAAUUUGGGACGGAGGGAGGAUAUACUAUAUGUGCAAACCAAAAUUACUGUUCUGAGAGUUUCUGAUGAAGGCCCCUUCUGUUUCUGUCGAACAAUAUGACAACAGGGGCCCACACGUUUGGCAGGGUGCAGUGCCUAAACAUCGCCGACUCCCCGGCCGACCGGCUCUACAACUUCAGCGGGACAAACAGGCCUGACCCAACCCUUGACCCGGCUUACCGAGCAUUCCUAAUCCGGAGGUGCCCGACGAAGAAUGGCAACAGCCCGGUUCUAAACGACCUCGAUCCAACAACACCAGACCUCUUCGACAAGAACUACUACACCAACCUUGAAGUGAACCGUGGGAUCCUCACUUCCGACCAGGAGCUCAAGUCCUCGCCCCAAGCGCGGGGCACCACGGCGCCGAUCGUCGACCAGUUUGCGAGGAGCCAGGACGCCUUCUUCAAGAGCUUUGCGCAGUCCAUGAUCAACAUGGGGAACAUUCAGCCCAUUACUGACCCCUCCAUGGGAGAAGUCCGUUGCGACUGCAAGAAGGUUAACGACAGUUAAAAAAUGAGUAAUCACGUGGAUGUGCUCCUCCGAUCCGUUAGUUUCAAUUGUACAGAUCCAGUACCUUGGCUCCUCUAAUGUGCAGAUCAUUACUUAUUGUUCUUCUGUUUAUAAUUGUUCAUAAAUGUGCAAUAAAGAGGAAACAAUUUCUCCUGUUAGCUUACAAGUAUGCUUGAUCCUCCUCUUGGCCUCUUGGGACACUAUUGCACAUAGAGACAAGGGGGAAUUCCAAGCAAUAUAUGGCAUGGAAGGGAUAUAUAAGAACAUUUUCAGUGGCAAAUUCAGGUUUCAGUAACAUUCAGUGGCACAUAAGGAAUUCUGUCAAUUAUUUUGUGAAAAAAGUAACAUCGCUCUAGUGCUUCACAAUACCUUCCCUUUCUAGCUAUUACGUUACAAAUACAUUAACUAUGACCAUCCACAAUACUGUUUGCGUAUAGAUGAAUGUGUCUUCGUUUUUUUUUCCUAAAGAAGCCUUGUUGGAUUUUCUCUAAAAAUAAACCACUGGGGACGACGAGAAAACCACCAUGCUGACGUGCUCAACAUAGGUCCAUGCUAAGAUAAGGAGGAUAGGCCCCCAGCUCGAUCAUCACUAGUCGGCAUAGCAUACAAUCCAACAAGCAGCGAAUGGCAAUCAGCGGAACAGUGUUGAUCUUUUGAAUCACGGAUCACAUCGGUCAUGAAUGCAACGUUUACCCUUUUUUAUUUCAGGUCUAUUUCAUGACCAGGACAUGCUUGAAGGAGAAUGAAGAUGAAUAACCAGAAAAAGAUCGCAGAAGAAGAAAAAUAGUGAUGUAAACACAAGGAUGUUGGUAAUCAUCUGAUGAUGAUUGAUUGCAUGCAUUAGUUGUUGUUUUUUUCACAUAUUGUUCUCAACAGCAUAUUCAGUAGGUUUUGCUUAAUUCAAUUCAAACAUAUUGCAACAUCAAAAUUAUUCACUGGACAGAAAAUGGUGCAUAAAUCCUAUAUACUCUGAGGAAGAAUCGGAAGUAGUAACGUACUAACGUUAGAGUAGAAAGAAAAAAAUGUUUCUACUGUAGAACUCGCGCUAUUUGUAGGGCAAUUAUUGACUUGUACACUAGCAUGCAGUACAGUGCAGUUUUGUGACGAAUAUGGAUAUGAACAAAGUAUAGCUAACGUUAGGUGCACCACCCAGUGUGGCAUGAACCAUAUAGACAUCGGUUGCACUAUUAUUGCUGUUCUCAUCUUUGUAGAUGCAUGUGUGCAGUUCCCUAGUAAUACAAGGCAUGCAGUCAUCAUGUCACAAGUGGCAGAGAGCAAAGUUUGACAAGUCUUGACCACCAGCAUUUUGCGUCCAGGAUGAUGAUUGAUUGGUCAAGCUUUUUGGACCGUACUUGACCCGUGUGCCUACCCUAUCUGCAUCUCCCUUCACCCAUCCAUGCACAUUUUUUAUCCAUGGCCGUCAUCAUUGAGCAAGCAAAUAACGGCUAGUUGAUUUGAGAUUAACUGGCAAUCAUGCACGCAUAUGCUCGUUGAUCCGUACGUUAAGUGUGGAGCUACAGCCUAUAAAUUACGUGCGCGCGUGUGCCUGCUGCCUCAUCUAUCACUUGAUGGUUCAACACACACCACACACAUAAAACAUAGAGACAUGCCUUCCUCUACACGUCCUCGCGCAGCCGCCGCCGUCGCCGGCGUGCUAGCGGCGGCGGUGGCUGCAUUGUGCCUCCACGGUGCGGCGGCGCAGCUGUGCGAGACCUACUACGACGACACGUGCCCCGACGCCUAUAACAUCGUGAAGCAGGUGCUCAUCGACGCCCACAAGUCCGACGUGCGCAUCUACGCCAGCCUCAUCCGCCUCCAUUUCCACGACUGCUUCGUCCAGGUACCUGCUGCCUGCCGCUGCCGUCACCGGCCGCCAUGGCCACGCAUGCCAAGCUUCUGAUGCAUGUAAAUGUAGGGCUGCGACGGGUCGCUGCUGCUGGACGGCGUGCCGGGGGUGAUCAACUCGGAGAAAGGCGCGCCGCCCAACAACAACUCUGCGCGGGGGUUCCCGGUGGUGGACAAAGCCAAGGCGGCGCUGGAGGGCGCCUGCCCCGGCGUCGUCUCCUGCGCCGACAUCCUCGCCCUCGCCGCGGAGAUCUCCGUCGAGCUGGUACGUAUGUGCGGUGGCCCUAUGACUAUGAGGCGCAUGAUGCCAUCAUGCAAACAGAAAGGAUCGUCCUGCUGCAAAACACAGGGCCCCACCCAUCAACACAAGGAUCCAAUUAAUCCAUCGAGAUACUGCAACUUCUAGCACUUCCCAAAAAAAAAAACAUGAACCCUAUGCACAAAUUAAAACACAAGGAUCCAAUCCAUCGAGAUAAUGCAACUUCUGCAAUAUAGAGCACUUGCAAAAAAAAACAUAUUGCACUUGUCCACCAACAAUAAUACCCUAUGCACAAAUUAAAGAAUCUACAUACGACAGGAACAAGAGCCUACAUAGCAGCAGGUGCGUGCAAACAAAAGGACGUUUGUCCUGCUGCAGAACGCGGGGCCCCACCCAAUGUGUGCAUUAUUCGAACACGGAAUAAAUCCAUCGAUCGAUAAUACAACUACUGCUGGCUGUAAUUAGUAAUUUUUCGCUUCACUCUAAUCUCCGUGCGCAGUCCGGCGGCCCAAAGUGGGGCGUUCUGCUGGGGAGGCUGGACGGCACGACGGCCGACUUCAACGGCGCAUCCAACCUGCCGGCGCCCUUCGAAAACCUCACCGUGCUCCAGGGAAAGUUCAAGGCCGUCGGCCUUAACGACGUCGACCUCGUCGCUCUCUCAGGCACGAGCCCGCAUCUUAUCAGUUCCGGUUAAUCAAACUCAUUAUCAUUAAUUAGUUACGACGUAAUCCAUCCAUCCCAAAUUGUAGGUCAUUUUGACAUUUCUAGAUUCAUAACUUUUACUAUGUAUCUAGACUUAUAUCCAGGUGCAUAUAGUAAAAUCUAUAAAUCUAGAACUGAUAAAAUGAACUACAAUUUGGAAUGGAGGGAGUACAUGUGUUUCUCAUCAUUCAUGACCUUUUCUUAGGAAUGCAAGCAAUAAAUACUUGAUUUACUUGGUUCACCAAAAACUUGAUAAAAAUUAACUAGACCGACAUUCCACGUAAUUAAUUUGUGAGGAGAAUUGAAAUAGAGUAGCAUGCCAUUAUAAUUAAUCAGUUGUUGUCGGCUUUUCCUUGACGUACAUGAACUAUAUGUACAUAGUUGUCACAUGAAACUUAAUGCACAGUAUACCAGAUUGCUGUUCUCACCAACGACCCAUCUGAUGUUUCUAUUGAAUAUAAUGUGAUCGCAGGGGCCCACACAUUUGGUAGGGUACAAUGCGCAAACAUAGCCGACGCCCCAGCUGACCGACUCUACAACUUCAGCGGGACGAACCGACCUGACCCGACCCUGGACUCGGCUUACCGAGCAUUUCUAUCCCAGAGGUGCCCGAGAAAUGGCAACAGCAUGGUUCUCAACGAUCUUGAUCCAACAACACCAGAUAUCUUUGACAAGAACUACUACACGAAUCUUGAAGUGAACCGGGGGUUCCUCACUUCCGACCAGGAGCUCAAGUCCUCGCCCCAAGCACGGGGCACAACGGCACCGAUCGUCGACCAGUUUGCGAGGAGCCAGGAUGCUUUCUUCAAGAGUUUUGCACAGUCCAUGAUCAACAUGGGGAACAUUAAGCCCGUGACUGACCCCUCCGUUGGAGAAGUCCGUUGCAACUGCAGAAAGGUUAACGACAGUUAAAAACGUGGAUGUGCUCCGGUAGUUUCAAUAGUACAGAUCAAGUACCUUGGCUACUGUAAUGUGCAGAUCAUUACUUAUUAUUCUUCAGUUUUAUAAUUGUUCAUAAAUGUGCAAUAAAGAGGAAACAAUAAUUUCUCCUGUUAGCUGACAAGUAUGGAAGGUAUAUAUAUAAGAACAUUCACUACUACAAAACAUAGAUAUUGUAACACAUUGUUGUAACACAUUCAUCAUUGUGUUACAAUGGAGUUUCAUUUUUUUUGAAACCUUUAACAAUGGAGUUUCAUAGGAACACAAAAGUAUGUGUUACAAAUGAACGUUGUAACACUUAGUGCUAGUUUCGUAAAAAGUUUGUUACAAACAAGGAUUAUAUAUAGUAACACAAAAUUAAUGUUGCAGCUAAAAUGUUACAAAGAUAGUAGUAUAUUGUAACACAUAGAAAAUAAUGUUACAGCUAAAAUGUUACAAAGAAACAUGUAUAUGUUCUUGUUUGAUGAUCCAUUCAUAUUUCCAUAUAGAUGUCUACCACUUUAUAGUACCUCAGUGUUAAAUACAUAAACAAUAUGGAAAAAAUGAGAAGAGACGACAUGACGGCCGCGGACAUAAAGAAACGGUGAGUUGUAGUCAGCUCUGAUGUAUGAGCCUACAAGGUUGGUGCUGCUUUAAACGGGUCCGACCGUCCGAGAGAUGUCAAGAUGAUGAAUGCGAAAAAGAAGAUACAGUAUUGGGGCUGUGGACUGGAUGAGGAAGUGAUCAGUAGGGUCGUCAUAGCUAUGUGCCAGUUGCUGGUCAUAAAGGUUGGCUCUGCUUGACAUUAAUUUAUAGCGACCUUAUAACUAAAAUAAUUUUAAAAUACUUAGCAUUCACGCACAAACCUAUGAAAAAUUGGAGUUUUCAUUGGCAUGGUAAGAUGGUGUUCAGAAUCCUUUAAAAAUAUGACAAAACAAUUGCAGAAACAAUAAUCAAAUACUAGAUUCUUCACUUAAUUUGUGGAUUAGCUUACCAUCAGGCUGUAACACUUUGUUUUUUGCUUUUCCUUGCAAUUUUGUUUCUAUAACAAAAAAAAAAGAUGGCCACCACUUGUACAUUAUUGAUGAUGGCCACGCAGCGCAUGUUCAUUCCAUAGGGCACGAAUCUAACGAGGAAUUAUUCUCUGUACUGAAAUCUACGUGUAUGAUUUUAUAAUAGAGAUUUACUCCACGACAAUCAAUUGAAAUCUUGUCCAUCAAUUACUGGAUUUUAUACUAGACAUUUAGUGGGAACAAGGAUUUGGAGUUAGGGUUUGGGAGAUUUUAGGUUGGGAGUUACCUAUGACUUGUGGGCCUAGAGCGAGUUCUGGACAGCUCACUGGCCGACAGUGAAGGUGGGAGAGAUGGCACGAUGGAGUGAAGUGGAGGCGGAAAGGGUGUGUGUGUUGGAUGGGGGGAGCGUGGUAUGGCCCAAAUAGGAUUGCAUGGGUCGAUGACAAAAGGUGGAAGCUACAGCUAUUGAAGGCAGUAGUAGUGAAAGGUCAUCACACAUUGAGAUCAAUCGGGUGACCGCAUGAGCUAGGAAGACAUAGUUGACUUUACCUAGUAUUUUAUCUACAACCACACAGAUAUAUUUGACACAUACAUAUAAGGGUGCUAAUCAGGGGCGGACCCAAGCCCAAAACCGAGUGAGGGCUUGCUAACAGCUCGGCUUGCUUAAGCUAGAGUAAAAGGCCUAAUUCCCUUUGAAUAUCAGAAUUCGAGUGUGGGCCUGGGUCCACGCUGGCCAUAACAUGGGUCCGCCACUGGGUCUAAUGGAUCAUGACUCUUAUACCUCCUCACAAUCUAACAUGAUCCUAAUUAAUUUUAGUUCAAAAUAUAUAAUAUUUUAGAUCCGAUCCUUGAAAUUGUUAUGCUAAAUUAUUAGGUACAACCCCUACAUACGUACUACAACAAAAUUGUUUCAUGAGUUAUACUUUACCUAUUAGUUUUUUUUUGAGAAAGCCAUUUGGCGCCCUUUAUUGAUAUUGAAUAAUAGUUACAUCGUUCGCCAAAGCUCCUAGAAUGAAACUAGGGGGUUCAUCGACCCAAUUACAAGAUAAUUUGCUUUUCAUUGCUUCUCUAGCUAACUCAUGUGCUGCACAAUUCGCCUCCCGAUUACAAUGAUCGAUGCAAAUAGAAACAAAAUCUUGCCAUAGUAUGAAACACUCAUCAUAAAUCGGAGCACUAGCUGUCGCUGAGAUGCCGUCUUGUUUCAUCGUCUCAACUACCUCCACACAGUCUGACUGAAUCAUAAUUCGAUUGCAUCCCAACAAUUGCGCCAACACCAGGCCUUCCUUAAGAGCUGUCACCUCUGCCAUAGCAGCAUCUACAAUAUUUUCAAAGUAACAGACCCUGGCUCCCAUAAAAUUUCCCGUUGAAUCUCUGAUGAUUGCGCCUGUGCUGCCUGUGCUCGAUUCAGCUUUGUAACUUGUAUCAACAUUCAGCAAUAUCCUGCCCUCCGGGGGCUUUUUCCAUCCAUCUUCUUUCUUACUCUUCUUGUUCAUUGAUCUCUGAAAAUUUGCUGUCAAUGUUGCUAUUGCCAUACUCGCUCUUGUCGGAUUUUGGACAGACUCUCCAUGUACAAACUUCCUGCGUUCCCACCAGAUAUACCAUCCACCUGUUAGGAUCAAUUCGGCCAUACCCACAUGGUUUAACCCAUCGACUAUUUUAGGUACCAUGAUCAUCUCGGCCACUGCCUCUGAACCCGAUCGGUGAGUCGAUACAACUGCGUUGAUCUCAUCAGCAACACCAAGUGUACGCCAAAUCUCCUUUGCUCGAUAACAUGUAAAUAAAACAUGUCUAAUAUCUUCACAGCUUUCAUGACAAGCAGGACAACUGCUAUUUUCCUCAAUGUGUCGAUUUGCAAGGAUCCCUCGGCAGGGAAUCAGACCAUGCAAAACCCUCCAUCCAAAAAUCUUUAUCUUUGAAGGCACAUCUAAGCUCCAGAGCUUCGACCAGACUUGUUCACAACCUGCUCCACCAGCUUGGUCAAAAACCCUGUUUGCUCCAAACUUGUGAUUCCAUUGCAAAUGAUAUGCUGACCCAGCCGAGAAGUAACCAUUUUUGUUAUAAUGCCACGCCACUACGUCUUCUCUUCCCUGUCGAAGGGGAAUCUGCAGAAUUCUGUUCACAUCAAUAUCCCAGAACAGUGCCUUUAUCAGAUCUUCAUCCCAUGUGCCUGUUGCUGGGUUGAUCAGCUCAUCCACCCUAGUGAUCAAAUUGUUUCCUCUCAAUGUUUGUACUUUCAUGUUAUGACUAGAUGGAAUCCAGUGAUCCUCCCAUAUGUUGAUUUGUGUUCCAUCCCCCACUCGCCAAAUGUAUCCUCUUUUGAAACAUUCUAGUCCUGCUAUAAUACUUUGCCAUGUGUACGAGCUCCCACUCUUCAGUCUUGCAUUCAGAAGUUUCCCAUCUGGAUAGUAUCUUGCCCUUAGUGCUCUUGCACAUAAAGAGUUUGGUUCUGACAAUAAUCUCCAAACUUGUUUUGCUAGCAGGGCCUUAUUAAAAAGCUUCAAUAUCUCUGAAGCCCAUACCACCCCUAUUCUUUGGAAUACAGAGCUUCCACCAAGCUUUCCAAUGUAUCCUUUUAUGAUCCUCAUCGUCGCCCCACCAGAACUGAGAUAUGGCGUCUGCUAUCCCUUUGCAAAUGUUUUUCGGGAUGUUGAACACCAUCAUCGCAAAAAUAGGCACGGCUUGAGCAAUGGAUUUUAUAAGGAUUUCUUUUCCUCCCAUACUUAGUAGCUUCUCCUUCCAACCUUUUGUUUUCCCCCGGACCCUAUCAACCAAAUACUGAAAACAGUCACUUCGAUCUGCCCCUACCAUGGCUGGGAGCCCAAGGUACUUAUCAUUUAGUGAUUCGGUCAUGAUGUUAAGGGUCUCACACACCUCCACUUUAACUUCGACAUCUGUAUUAGCACUGAAAUAAAUGCUAGAUUUUGCAUCACUGACUUUUUGUCCUGAAUUGGAACAAUAUCUAUCAAGCAAGUUCUUUAGCACAUCUGCAUUUUCCUUAUCUGCUUUCAUCAAUAUCAGGGAGUCAUCAGCAAAUAACAAGUGUGAAACAACUGGUGCCUCCCUGCAUACACGCACACCUUGUAAUUCCCCCCUACUUUCUGCUCCCCUCAACAAACUCGAUAAACCCUCAGCCACCAUUAGGAAUAGGUAGGGGGACAAUGGAUCCCCUUGCCUCAAACCUCUUGUAGGACAAAAGGUUUCUGUCUCCAUUGAAUUUACUCUGACCUUGUAUUUUACAGAUUUUACACAAGCCAUGAUUAACUUUAUCCAUCUUCGAUCAAAUCCCAUUUUCAUCAUAAUUUUUUCCAGGAAACCCCACUCCACCCUAUCAUAUGCCUAAUGCAUAUCCAAUUUCACUGCACAUAACCCCUUUUUGCCUCUUUUCUUUUUGAUAGUAUGAAUACUUUCAUAAGCUAAAAGAAUGUUAUCAGUGAUGAGUCUCCCUGGCACAAAUGCGCUUUGGUGAUCACUAAUAACAUCUGACAAAAUUACCCGAAGCCGAUUUGAUAGCAUUUUUGAUAUGAUCUUAUACACCACAUUGCACAGACUUAUAGGUCGGAAUUGGGAGACCAGAGUAGGGUUGUUUACCUUAGGAAUUAGAACAAUUGUCGUAUCAUUCCACCCAUCUGGUAUUUUUGCUGAGUUCACCGCUUCAAGCACCUCCAUCACCAAGUCAUCUCCCAACAGCUCCCAAAAUCUUUUAUAAAAAACAGCAUGCAUACCAUCAGGCCCUGGGGCCUUAAAAUCGCCAAUCUGAAACAAAGCUUUUUUAACUUUCUCGUGGGUAAACGGCGCCAACAGUCCCAUGUUCAUAUCCUGUGUGACAGAUCGUUGGACAUCUGACAACACACUAGGAUCCGGAUCCCCCACUUCUGACGUAAACAAAAUCUCAAAGUAGUUUUGGACUAUGUUACACAUAGCUACACCAUCUUCCUGCCUUGUCUCAUUGUCAUCCAUCAAUCCCUUAAUUGUGUUCUUUUUUCUCCUCUUCGUUGCAAAAUUAUGAAAAAAACUUGUGUUCCUAUCACCCUGCUUAAGCCAAUUUGCUCUAGCUCUUUGGAGCCAGUGAAUUUCCUCUUGCUCCAGCAUGAGUUCUAGGCGGACCAUAAUCUCCUUCUAGGAUUCUGUGUUGGCAUCAUUCAUCGGUCCCCUUUUCAAUCUUUCUAACUCCCUUUUUAGAUCGGAUAUCCUCUUUGCCAGUGCCUUUAGCACCUCCUUAUCCCAUUUAUGAAGUUCCUCAUGGACGUCAUUCACCUUCUCCAAAAAUGAUGGUCCAUCGCCUCGGGCCUUUGCUCUCACCCAUGCAGCUUUGAUCAUCUCUUCCACUGUAUGCUCCUGCAGCCAUCUUGCCUCGAAUCGUUUCUUGCUCCCACCUCCUUGAAUUGGUGAAAGAUAAAGAGUAUCCAUCACAAUCGGUCUAUGGUCUGAUCUUGUACUCUCACUGUUUAUCAGAGUCGACUGAGGAAACAGGUCUGACCACUGCAUGUUAGCAACCGCUCUAUCCAGCCUUUCUCUUAUGUGACCACAUUAGCGUUACUAUUUAUGUUACACAUAUUAUGUUACUCGUAUCCUUAAAUAUGAAGCUGCCAGUUCGUACAUAUUUUUGCUACUAGUAACAUGUUUAAUAUUAGCGAAUGGAUGUUUUUUUAAGAAAAAUUAUCCAGAUCUGUAAAGCUGGUAUAUUUUCACUAGUUCGUAUACCCUAUCUAAGUCUACUGCCAGAAAAAAUAUCACCAAACUAGUGUUUUAGAGCAAGUACAUUGCUACACAUCAGCGGUUUUAUAGGUCGUCUCAUGCAGUACCACGUAGGAUUUUUGAUGAUGUGUAGAGGAGAGACCAAGGAGAGAGAAAGAUGUUGUUUCGCGAAACAACCACCUUAUGAGCUAAAUUGUAGAACUAUGAGACAACUCAAUAACCAUUGUAUAAGUUAUUGUUGCCAUGCAACUCAUAAUAUUUCCUUUUUUCAUAUACACAAAUUAAGAAAUUAUAUAACUCUAUCAGACAACUUGUAAGAUAACCCAUUCUACGGGUUGCUUGUUGAGUUUUAUCAAGAUUACGUGUCAAUGUAUAAAACCAUUUAAUCGUCUAUUAGAUGAUACCAAUGUAACUUAAUUUCCCUCCUGAUACAAAAAAAAACUAACUUUUCGGAUUUUACCAUUUGAUUAGUUUCCCUCCAGAAAUUCCCGCUGACUCCUUUUGCAGAUACGGAACAAAUCACGUUGACUAGAGAAAAGAAGGCCGGUUCCUAUUGGACUCUAGAAGUCUACGGAGGGUGUCAUUGACUCAUUGUCCACGCCGCAGGUCUCAAGGACGAUGUUCCUUGUCGAGCAGUCGAGGUAAUCAAAUCAGGUAACUGAAUCCCAUCUAGCCGAUGCGAUCUGCCCUCUCCCCAACCGCACUCACCUCCCUCCCCGCCUUGCAGUUGUGCGGCCGAGCCAUAUCUCCCGAUAUCCCAGCGCCCGGCCUACCUGAUGGGCGAUGAUCUCUGGCGGAGGAUCCAAAAAUUACAAGAUCAGGGCGCGGGGUGAGCAAAUGCACCGUUCUUCUGAUUGUGAUUUGAAUCGUUACAUAUGGAAGAAGAUGUAGUGCAUUAGCAUGCUACACCAGGCUGCAGGUCGAUGUCUCGAUCCAUCUGCAAUCUCUAGGAUUAAAGAUGGGUUCGACAGUCGAUGUGCUGUUAUUCUCGGUUUGGCAUAGCUGUAGUGAGAAUAAUCAAUCAAUUAUCAAAAAUUAUCAAUUUUUUGCCUGCUUCUAUGGUUCGCUCAUUUUGCAAUUACUGAAUUUGUCAUCAUGUGGCUCGGUUCAGAGAUUAUGUGCUAAUUGUUUUCUGGCCGAGAAAUACAUCCUGUUACUACGUAUUGCUUGUGCUAUCUACUUGUUCCUGCUGCUGUUUGGCUCGUUGGAAGCUACAAUUGUGAUUCUGUAUUACUACAGAUACUAACCAUGCAUUCUGGAUAAUACAAUUGUGUCUGAACUAAGUACUGUUCAUCAUCUGACACUAUGAUUUUGUUCUGUUUCCAUUUACAGGUGAACAUUAUUUUGGCUUGCUUGUAAUUUGAGUAAAAUUUAAGUGAAGCAAUCAUCUGACACUAGUUUAGCAGUAGGUUCUCAAAUAAUCUAUAACCUCAAUAUGUAAUUUUAUUCUGCUUUUUUAUAUAUUGUUGCAGUAUGGCUGGUGAGAGUUGGGGAGUUUAGUUUUUGAUUGUGAGGGGGGCACCUCAAGGACAAGAAUUCCAAAAAAAUGAACUGGACAUAGCUGAUCGAUGUCAAAUAGCUUGAUUUGUUUCAAGAACAACUUGUGUAUGCAAAGGACUACUUACAUACUAUAAGAAGUGAUCCAGGAGGGAAGUGGCAUGUCUUGACCUGAUUGAUUUUGAUCAUGAAGUGCCAAUGUUUGCUUUUAUUUUGCUGCAUUUUUUAUACCGUGAAUUCUUAUCGGUCAUGUAACAAGCAUGUGUGGUUGAUGGGUUCAUGGCCUGUACAGAUAUAACAUAUUGAUGACUUGCAGAAUUUAGGGAUGAUUAUAGAGAGGAUACAGUCAAAACAUGUAAGGAUUUCCUGAGGGUGCAAGGUGAAAUUCAAUGUAUCUGUGAUUUAUUGUAUAUUAUAUUGAUCAUAAUAUUCUUGAAUGAAAAAUGACCAUAUGGAUUGAUGUAAUCUAUGUGGCGCAGGUUGUGCUUUUAUAUAUGUCUUACAAAUUUUCAUUGAUCAUUCCCUGUCCGUUAAGCACUUCUGAAAAACUGAGCAUUAGUCCUAACUCAUAGUACUGGUUGGUUUUUGACCCGGUACUAAUAUGAGCGUUAGUACCGGGUCUACCUAGUAGCCCUCCAUGACCCCCUUAGUACCGGUUGGAGCUCCUACCCGGUACUAAAGAUCUACCCUGCCUUAUCCGUCCACUCCCCCGACCCAUACCCGCUUCCCUCUCUCCUUAUUCGCUCCCUCUCCCUCAGCUCCUCCCUCCCUUUCUCACUCUUGGCCCGGUCUCCCUCCUCUCUUCCUCCCUCUCUCACUCCCUCUCUCCUUCUCUCACUCUCCCAUUUGGGCGCGCGGGGAGGUGAGGCGUUGGGGGCUGAAGGCACUGCGGCCGGCCCCGACUGCGCGUCGGUAGGAUGUGGUGGCGGGGGGAGGGCGGCAGGGGCUGGGCGGGAGGGGCAUGCGAGGGUGGCGGGAGGGUGGCGGGGGUGGUGGGAUGGCGGGGGCCGGGCUCGGGCUUAGGCGGGUGAUUUCUUUUUUUAUUUUUAAUACCCCUUAAGUACCAGUUAUGAUCCUUUAGUACCGAAGUAGCAAUACCGGUUGCACAACUGGUAAAAGGGGGUUAGAAAUCGGUACUGAAAGGGCUUUCCCUAGCAGUGAAGUCUCGCUUCCAAUUUUUCAUUGAACAUUCCCGUCCAUUAAGUCUUGCUUCAAAUUUUUCCUUAACAAUUAAAAAGUUCAAUAUUAUGAUUUCCAAUGCUGAAAGCAAGUGAAAUAAUUUUAAUACUAUAUUAUCUUGGCAUAAGUUAAGACUUCAUAUAUGUUGCUUUCCAAAAUGCUUGAAAGCUUGCUGAUAUGUUGUUUCUUGGUCGUGUAUUGACGCCGGAUGUUCUUUGCUCAUGCUUAUUUAAAUACCUAAGAAAAUAACAAAAAAUAGGUAGGGGUGUGGUGAUAAAAUUUCUGGUGCGUCGCACAUCCGUGAAAGAAUACUAGUUGAUCGCAAAGAACUGUCAUGUCUUUCUUAGGUGGUAUUCUAGAGAAGUCUAUGUCCAGUGAUGAUAUAACAUGCUAAUUACAAGGAAUUUUCACAUCUGCAAGCAGAGCCAUCUUCCCCACAAUGCUCUACUAAUGAUUUGAGACAAAAAGAGGUAUACUAUUCUAGCUGAAUCGUUGACUAAAUAUAUAUUAUCCAUGCAAUGUUUCAAUCAUUCAGGAUUAUUGUUGCACUUGUACAACUGUAUAAAUACAAUAUUUUCAUUUGCAUUAAAUUUGAUAUGUGUAUAAAGAAUUCAAGUGUUGUAGAAUAAAAAAAAGAAAGAUAUAUGAGAAACACACUUCUCCAUUGGAGUCAAGCUAGGCAAACAAUUUUACAAAGUUCGCAUCAAUCAUCCUAUUAUACAAGAUGAGCCAUUAGUAAGGCUCAUGCUACAACAUCAUUGGUUAUGCCCAUGUUAAAGGAGCACCAAUUGCUUGACCUUCAAUUUGUGUAUGUCACAACUAGCUUAGCAUUACAACUAGCUUUCUUUGAACAAGUUGAAAUGAUCAAUGUUACAACUUUCUUUCUCUAUGCACGUUGAAAUGAUCAUAGUUAAAUUGCUAUAUUUGGUAAAGAAUGGAUCAAGAAGCAAUAGAUUGGAAGAAUAUAGCAUAUUUAUGUUUCAAUUUCAUUCCCACUAGUCCAAACUCAUACUAUUCAUUGCAAUGUAAAUUUCCUCUAUAGAAUCAUGUCCUUAUGUAAAUAUACUACUACAUUUUGUAAAUAAGGACAAUGUUUCCUUCCUAAAAUCACUGUAGCUUCUCGUGAUCAUUGAAAAAAUGUGGUUUUUGUCAUUGUGCAAUGUGUCACAUUCCCUCAAAAAUAUCAUGUACAUGUCAUUAUUAUAUGACGUACACAAGUGUAAAAUAGUUAUUUCUUUUUCAAAUUUUGUAUGUGUUACAAUAGGUAAAGCAUGUGUUACAAACAUAUGUUCCUAAAAUUCCAUACAUUGUUCUUACAAAGUGUUACUACCACCGUGUGCAAGUGUUACUAGAGCUUAAAAAAAAUGUUACACAAGAGAAUUGUUGUAACACUUAAAAAUGUUCCAUCAAAUCAGUAAUUGUGUUACAAAGUAGUAACACUUUUUUGAGUGUAAAAGAACACAUAUCUUUUGUUCCAAUAGAUCAGACUGUGGUAAGACCACCUAAAGUAAAGCUAACAAGAUGUGUUACUAGGUCACCUCAUAACACAUUUACUGAGCUACAGUAACACAUUCUGGUGUUAUACUAAAACCAUGUUCUGUAGUAGUGAUUAUCAGUGUCAAAUUCAGGUUUCAGUAACAUUCAGUGGCACAUAAGGAAUUCUAUCAAUUAUUUUGUGAAAAAAAUAGCAUCGCUUUAAUGCUUCAAAAUAUCUUCUCUCUCUAUCACGUUACAAUUACAUAACUUGAACAUAUCCACAAUACUGUUUACAUAUAGUUGGAUGUGUCUUCUUGUUUUUUUUCUAAAUAGCCUUGUUGGGUUUUGAUCUAAUGAUUGAGUGACAUAAAGUUGAAUAAUUGAGGACGGGCGGACGGAGAGAAAACCACCAUGCAUGCUAACCUGCUCAACAUAGGUCCAUGACUCCAUGCUCAACAGCUCAAGAUGUGGAGGAUACACCCAGAGCUCACUAGUGGGCCUAGCAUAUAAUCCCAACAAGCGAAUGGCAAUGAGUUGAACAGUGUUGAUCUUUUGCAUCACGGACAUCGGUCAUGAAUGCAACGUUGACCUUUUUUUUAUUUCAGGUCUAUUGCUUGACCAGGACAUGCUUGAAGGAGAAAGAAGUGAAUAACCAGAAAAAAGACUGCAGGAGAAGAAAAAUAGUGAUAUAAACACAAGGAUGUUGGACUGUUGGUAAUCAUCUGAUGAUGAUUGAUUGCAUGCAUCAGUUGUUUUUGUCAUAUCAUUUUCAGAUUACACUACUGGAGAACAAACCUUCCAUUUAGGUGCUUUUGCCCCUCCCCCUUUAUCAUGGUUGGUAAUUCCAACCGGGACUAAAUUUUUUAUCCCGGUUGGUCCAACCGGGACAAAGCGCUUUCCCACGUGUCCCCCUCUCUCUCCAUAUUAAUAUCUUCUCCUCAUACCAGUGCAGAUCCCCUCUCUCUCCUUUUCCUUAUCCUCGUGCAGAUCGCCUCCACCCUUUCCUUCUCUCUUGCGCAGACCUCCUCUAGCUUCUCCCUCUCCUCCUCUCUGUGCUGCCGCCUCCCCUCCCCUCCCUCCUGCCUUCCUCUCCCGCCCCCUCCCCCUUUGCUGCCCCUCCCCUUCCCCCUCUGCUCGCCCCUCACUGGCAGUGAGGAGCGGCAGCGGGGUGAGGGCGGGCGGCGGGAGACCGGGCUGCUGGCGGGCAAGCGGGCGCGGGUGGAGCCUGGUGGCGGCGGGCGGAGGCCGAGCGGGUACGGGUGCGGGCGGGUGGGCGGUGGGCGUGGGCGAGUGGGGGCAAGCGGCCGGCACGGGUGUUACCAACUGGGACUAAAGGGGAUUUUUAGUCCCGGAUCUUUUGUCUCGAAUAAUUAGUCCCGGAUGGAUUUUCGGGAUCUAUGACCCAGGGACUAAAGAUCCGUUUUUCAGUAGUGUUACCCUUAAUAGUAUUCAGUAGGUUUGCUUAACUCAGUUCAAACACAUUGCAACAUCAAAUUAUUUUUUUAACCAAAAAUAAAUGGUGCAUAAAUUCUAUACUCUGGGGAGGACUGAAGUAGUAACGUUAGAGUAAAAAUAUAGAAAUGUAAAUAAGUGGGUUACAGAGGAUGCAAAAUCAGCAUAAUGAUUUUUGCUGUGGUACCCGUAUUCAAAUGCUACCCUUAGUUCACAUUUGAGCUUUAUCAAGGAUAUGCUCACUGUAACCAAGUUUCUUCCGGCCAAAAUUUUCGAUUCGCCACAAAUGUUCAACACUCUCUCUAGUCGGAUCACCUUCACCUCGUGGCCUAAAUGGGCCAUAUUUCUUACAUAUUCUUUCAGUCAAGUAUGUGGUCUUUUACGGUAUAGCUAGAUAGUUACGAAAAUAGUAGAGACCUUUCAUCAGCUUUAGGAGUAGUUGAAGCUACAAUGUUUAUUAGAAGGAAAAAUGGAUGUUUGCAGCCUUGCCCUGGUUGAUUGGUGCAGAGGCAAAAGAUUACCACCAUUAUGUAAAACUUGAAGCUACAAAUAAUGUAACAGACCAUCCCACAAGUUUCUAUUCUCACAGAGGCAACAGGCUCCUCCAAAAACACAGCUGUAUCAUAGAGGGCCUACAUGUUCAUGCAUGCCGCUGAAAGUAUAUAUGUACGUCAUGAAAGCGAUGGCUAAACCACACAUGCCAAUGUUUGCAUGUUCUUUUCGAUACAGGGUGUCAGUUGACGCAAACAUAUCAUUGACUCAUUGUACUGAUGACUCUUUUCUUUGGGAGAACUUCGAUAUUUCAUCAAAAUAGAAUUUCCGAAUUCAUCGUUAAUUUUUGUUGGUUAUAAUACAUUUUCUUAUGGAAGUUCAGAUAAACAUUUAUUAAUUUCAAACUUGCUCCAUAUACAAUCAUGCAUUUGCACAUGGUAGUGGCGGCUAGGAUACAUAUACAAGUGAAACAUAUAUAAGAAAAAAAUGCGAAUGGACCACGCUAACUUUACGGACACAUCAACAAACAGGAAGAUGAGUAGAAGCAUGCUAUGUCAAGAUCACACCAUCACAACAAUACAAUAUAGGUCGUCAUCAUCGCAAUAGUAGGAUCAUGUAUGAUAGUAGCACUGGUCAACAUCCAGACCAAAAGAUACCAUGUAUUCGUAGUAUAUAUAUGGUCCGUCGGUAAAAUAAACUUUUGCGAUUAAUACUCAUAAAGAAUUUUACAUUAGCCCGUAUGGACUGUGGGAAAUUUGAAUAGUUAAAAUACUCCAACCUUCGAGAGAAGUUAUAUAUAGAUCUAUAUAGUAAUAUGAGCUGUGUAACAAAAAACCUAAUACAUCAUAAACGUGCCUAGCCGAAUUAAUGGUUCAUUUGUUGGAACAGCUGCAUUGGUAGCAACGAGGAUAGAUGUUCUGAGCUGCCCCUGCAACUUCAUUUGGUUUACUACUGGUCCCCGGUUCUUCUGUACUGCUCCCUCCGUUCAAAUUGUAGGUUGUUUUAGCUUUUUAGGUUCUAUGAAUUUAGAAAAGUCAAAACGACCUACAAUUUGGAACAAAUGAAGUACAAGAGAACAAAUAAUAGCCGCCAAUUAUUAAUAGGAAUGAAAAAGUUCAUAUGAAUUUUAAUUUUUGUUGUAGACUGAAUAAGGAUAUACAUAAUAAGGAGUAGGUCAAGGCAUGAUUGUAUACUAGUACUAUCGGAAAGGAGACUGGUGUCUCUCGUAUAUUAGCACAUGCAUUUGUUUUUUACUGUACUUACAGAUCACUUUAGACUUGUCACUCUGGAUUCUGGAACUUGUUUAGGAACCUGAAUUUCAUGUAGCAAAAACAUUUAGGCCAUGCUUGGAAGAAGGUGAUUUCUUUAGGAACUUUCAGAAUUUUGUGUUAAUAAUGUUACAAUUAAUACCAAGGCUAUGUUUAUUUUACAUCUGAUUGUAAAAACAGUGGUUAUAAGCUGAAGUGGAAACAAAUAGACAGAUUUUGAUGCAUGCCAGAUAGCUGAUGUCAUUGAUGUCCUAUCACGGAACUAUAUCACAUCGUCAUUCCAAAGCUAGCCCUUGUCAACAAGAUAAUCUUAUCAAUGCUAGCAUAUUAGGUCACAAGCACUUCUCCCAUAAAACAAGUACAGUAGCCAGUUUCACAAACAACAAAACACAACCAGCAUUAGGUACAGGACCUAACAAGAGCCCUACGUACUUGCGAAUACAUCCAUGUGCAGCUAGUACACAAGAAAAUGCAGUACUUAUACUGACAGCAGAUAGAGCAGCUGGCAGAAGGUUUGAAAAAUCUUGACCAUCAUGCGUGCGUUAUUGCUCAGGCAUAUUCGGCCAUCCUCCAGAUCCAUUAAUAUACUUCUUUCUAUAGACCCAUUUGUAUAUAUUUGUGUCUACUGUCUGUUUAUCGAUCUCUAUCGAACAGAAAGCAUUAGGCCAGUUGUUAAUUGAGACGGUGACUGAGAGUGAUCAAACCACCAUCAAUGAGGACGAUGACUAGCUUGUAACACUAUUGCAGCUUCAUAGUGAACUUAGUAUUAGGAACCGGCAUGGAUCGGUGACACAUGCCUCAUGUCGUCGAUCCCAUUAUUGUUUGUAUCUUUGCAUGUGAAGGUAGCGCAAAAUAUAAAAGACUUGUGGUUCGCACUCAGAAAUAAAGAAGGCGUUGGAGGAGCCAAUUUUUAUACCCCUUGAGUCUCGAAUGAUAAUGAAUUUAAUGAUCAUCAAUGUAUGAUUCGGAAGGUCAAUUAUUUUGGACCACGGUUGAACCACACAUCUGUCAGCACAUGGAUCCAUUAUUUUAACCAACACAGUACGUAGAUGCAACUUGGGAUUUUCUUUUUGGGAAUCGACACAAUUUGUGAUUGGGAAUCAUGCAUGCAAAUCAUGUUGACUUGUGAACGAACGACCACAAUGAUUGGUGCAGUAGUAGUACACUAGUACUUAGUUACCUUCUGCUUAUAAAAUCAGGGAAGCGUGACUGCCUCACCGUGCUCGUGUCUCUCCAUCGGUGGACAUUUCGGACGUAGAGAGUUUUCCUAGAGAUGGCUUCUUCUUCCUCUGCUCCUCGUGCAGCCGCCGUCGUCGCCGGCGUGCUGGUGGUGAUGGCCGCCCUGUGCCUCCACGGCGCAACGGCGCAGCUGUGCGAGGAGUACUACGACGACACGUGCCCCAACGCCUACGACACCGUGAAGCAGGUGCU